GAUGAACGCUGGCGGCGUGCCUAAUACAUGCAAGUCGAGCGAACGGACGCGUAGCUUUCUUCUCUGAUGUUAGCGGCGGAAGUAUGAGUAACACGUGGAUAACCUCCCUAUAAGACUGGGAUAAAUUCGUGAAACCGUAGCUAAUACCGGAUAAUAUUUUGAACCGCAUGGUUCAAAAGUGAAAGACGGUCUUGCUGUCACUUAUAGAUGGAUCAGCGCUGCAUUAGCUAGUUUGUAAGGUAACGGCUUACCAAGGCAACGAUGCAUAGCCGACCUGAGAGGAUGAUCAGCCACACUGGAACUGAGACACGGUCCAGACUCCUACGGGAGGCAGCAGUAGGGAAUUUUGGGCAAUGGGCGAAAGCCUGACGGAGCAACGCCGCGUGAGUGAUGAAGGCCUUCGGAUCGUAAAACGCUGUUAUUAGGGACGAAAAGAUUUGUAUGUAAACAGGAGGAUCAUGACGGUACCUAAACAAAAAGCAACGGCUAACUACGUG
RNAcentral lists this ribosomal RNA (497 nucleotides) under uncultured bacterium. RNAcentral's name for it is "partial 16S ribosomal RNA". It matches the Rfam family "Bacterial small subunit ribosomal RNA", at positions 28 to 507 of the family's 1533-position model. The record is from RNAcentral.